CAUACCAUGCUGAAUAUACCGGUUCUCGUUAGAUCACCGAAGUCAAGCAUCAUUGGGCGCGGUCAGUACUUGGGUGGGUGACCACCUGGGAACAC
RNAcentral lists this ribosomal RNA (95 nucleotides) under Caerostris darwini. The record is from RNAcentral. Lineage: Eukaryota; Metazoa; Arthropoda; Arachnida; Araneae; Araneidae.